Molecule: ribosomal RNA, 409 nt
Filed under: bacterium
Lineage: Bacteria
Description: partial 16S ribosomal RNA
Rfam family: Bacterial small subunit ribosomal RNA
Source: RNAcentral
UGGGGAAUAUUGCACAAUGGGCGAAAGCCUGAUGCAGCGACGCCGCGUGAGGGAUGACGGCCUUCGGGUUGUAAACCUCUUUCAGUAGGGACGAAGCGCAAGUGACGGUACCUGCAGAAGAAGCACCUGCUAACUACGUGCCAGCAGCCGCGGUAAUACGUAGGGUGCGAGCGUUGUCCGGAAUUACUGGGCGUAAAGAGCUCGUAGGCGGUUUGUCACGUCGUCUGUGAAAUCCUAGGGCUUAACCCUGGACGUGCAGGCGAUACGGGCUGACUUGAGUACUACAGGAGAGACUGGAAUUUCUGGUGUAGCGGUGGAAUGCACAGAUAUCAGGAAGAAAACCGAUGGCGAAGGCAGGUCUCUGGGUAGUAACUGACGCUGAGGAGCGAAAGCAUGGGUAGCGAACAGG